UUGGAAAUAAACUUGCGUCGUUUUGGUCGACUUAAGCAAUUCAAUCCGUGCGUAUGUUGAAACGCGAAGCAUACGCGCCUGUGUAGCAAGGCGAUACGCAUGCGAUUCCAUAUUGCGAUUCGUGCGUGUGGGAGACAAUGCGUAAAGCAAUACGCGUCCAAUCGCACAUCACACGCAUACAGUCCGCAAGGCUAUUCACAUGCGAAUACACGUUGCGUUCCAUGCGUAUGAAGGCUGAUUGCAUACUUAACGCGGCCUAACACACACCAAACGCACACAUGUCGCAACGCAAUUCACAUGCAAACAAAUGUUGCAUUUCAAGCGUAUGAAGGCUCGUUGCGUCAAGUUUACUGCGGCCUAACACACCAAACACACACCAAACACACACCAGACACACACCAGACACACACCAAACACACACCAGACACACACCAAACACACACCAAACACACACCAAACACACACCAAACACACACCAAACACACACCAAACACACACCAAACACACACCAAACACACAC
RNAcentral lists this long non-coding RNA (520 nucleotides) under Volvox carteri. RNAcentral describes it as "long non-coding RNA (VCAR_LNC004056)". The record is from RNAcentral. Lineage: Eukaryota; Viridiplantae; Chlorophyta; Chlorophyceae; Chlamydomonadales; Volvocaceae.